UGUUCCUACUGUAAUACAGGAGGCUGUAGAAUAGAAGAUGGCGUAUGUCAUAAUGGUUGUCAAGUUGGUGUCAACAAUACGAAAUGCUGAAAUAGUACAAAUAAGGAUCAUGAAAUUAAUAGAGACAAGUGAUCCUAAAGAACGAGGGAGGUGAACAGAAUAGCAACAAUCGUUCUAGAUGAAAACUGUUUUUAUUGUGAAAAUACAUGUUUCUGUAUAACAAUUAAAGUAGAAUAUAUGAUAGAUGAUGAA
Molecule: long non-coding RNA, 252 nt
Organism: Patella vulgata (common limpet)
Lineage: Eukaryota; Metazoa; Mollusca; Gastropoda; Patellidae
Exons: 2
Source: RefSeq, a predicted model, not a curated record